RNAcentral lists this transfer RNA (80 nucleotides) under Pseudomonas syringae pv. actinidiae. RNAcentral describes it as "tRNA-Met". It matches the Rfam family "tRNA". From Rfam's summary of the family: Transfer RNA (tRNA) molecules are approximately 80 nucleotides in length. Their secondary structure includes four short double-helical elements and three loops (D, anti-codon, and T loops). The record is from RNAcentral. Lineage: Bacteria; Pseudomonadati; Pseudomonadota; Gammaproteobacteria; Pseudomonadales; Pseudomonadaceae.
CGCGGGAUGGAGCAGUCUGGUAGCUCGUCGGGCUCAUAACCCGAAGGUCCGUCGGAUUCAAAUCCGGACUCCCGCAACCA